Molecule: ribosomal RNA, 736 nt
Filed under: uncultured bacterium
Lineage: Bacteria
Description: bacterial SSU rRNA
Rfam family: Bacterial small subunit ribosomal RNA
Source: RNAcentral
GAGUUUGAUCAUGGCUCAGAAUGAACGCUGGCGGCAGGCCUAACACAUGCAAGUCGAACGGGUGUCUUCGGGCACUAGUGGCGGACGGGUGAGUAACGCGUGGGAACAUACCCAAAGGUACGGAAUAGCCUCGGGAAACUGAGAGUAAUACCGUAUGUGCCCUUCGGGGGAAAGAUUUAUCGCCUUUGGAUUGGCCCGCGUUGGAUUAGGUAGUUGGUGGGGUAAUGGCCUACCAAGCCGACGAUCCAUAGCUGGUUUGAGAGGAUGAUCAGCCACACUGGGACUGAGACACGGCCCAGACUCCUACGGGAGGCAGCAGUGGGGAAUCUUAGACAAUGGGGGAAACCCUGAUCUAGCCAUGCCGCGUGAUCGAUGAAGGCCUUAGGGUUGUAAAGAUCUUUCAGAUGGGAAGAUAAUGACGGUACCAUCAGAAGAAGCCCCGGCUAACUCCGUGCCAGCAGCCGCGGUAAUACGGAGGGGGCUAGCGUUAUUCGGAAUUACUGGGCGUAAAGCGCACGUAGGCGGAUUAGAAAGUCAGAGGUGAAAUCCCAGGGCUCAACCUUGGAACUGCCUUUGAAACUCCUAGUCUUGAGGUCGAGAGAGGUGAGUGGAAUUCCGAGUGUAGAGGUGAAAUUCGUAGAUAUUCGGAGGAACACCAGUGGCGAAGGCGGCUCACUGGCUCGAUACUGACGCUGAGGUGCGAAAGCGUGGGGAGCAACAGGAUAGAUACCUGGUA